CUGACUGGCAGCAGCUACCCAGGGCUUCGGACAGUAGACUUCUCAACCGUACCUGAAGAUGCUGUGAGUUCAGCCUGGAACCUUCUGCAUGCAAACCAUGCAGUCUACUGCAGAGCUAUGUCCCACUCCCAAUUUCUUCAUCAAGAUUUCUGAUUUAUGGUUUCUAAGGUCUUUGGUGUUGACUAAUGAUGGCUGCCAUGUCUUGUUUUCAUCUUGCAAGAUUUCCAGAUAUUGGCCUGGAUAGAGUUACCCCCAAUAAAUGAUAGACUUCAUCUGGGGAAAUUCUACCUCUGGCACCAUACCCUAAAGAAUAUCAUUUUCUGCAAUUGCCUCUGUACUAUGGAAUGCCCUCCUUCCCUCUGCCAUAUGUGUAGCAGGCAUCCAUCAUUUGCUUUGGACAUCUUGUAAAGAGAUAUCUUUUUUGCCCAGGCUUUCUCUGAUCCUGUUUUUAUCUGUCUGGAUUCCCCGAAUUCCUGUUUUUAUUUGCUUUUGUAUGCUUUAUGCUACUGUUUUACUGGUUUUAUGUUGCAUUUCUGUUUUAAUGAUAUGGUUUAUUGUCUUAUGUUGUAAACCACAUGGAGAUUUCUUAAAAUAUUAAGUGGUUUACAAAUGCUUUUAAAUAAAUUAGAUGGAGCGAUGAUACAUAGACAUUUAGGGAGUUAGUUGUUUCCUUGUGGUUUAAUGGUAACUUUUUAUGUUUUAUAAUAUCGGUUCAUUGAACUGCUUUCUUGCGCAUUGCCUGGAGCAGCUGAAUUUGCCUUAUGUUUAUCUACAAAUAAAUGAUUUUGCUAAAUAAAAUUGCAAAGCACCCUUGCAAGGGCAGAUUCUGCUGACCUCCACCCAGCUGUAUUCUCUGCAGUGGAGAGGACAGUUUGUUUGUUUUUCUAUGAUAUGAAAACUGAGAAUCACGAGCAGCCAACCACACAUCUACGACUGCAAUGGGAACAACACAAAACAGAGCCUGCAAAACUUUGAAAGGGUGGUUUAAGGUGCUUUUGGUCAUCCAGGCAAAGAUGACCCAUUGCGCUUCCUUGCUCAAAGCCAGAGCUUCUGUUAAUACUAUUAGAGCCAAAGUUUCGGAUUUCAGAUGAGGCAUGUUGGCAAUUACAGGCUGAAACGGAUGCCCUUGAGAAUGUGGGUCAAGUAUUCAGGGCUCCAGUUUCAUGGUCAAGGGGAUCACAAGAGACAGCGACCUAAGAAGAACAGGAAGAUCUCUUCAAUGACCAAAUAUCUACACAGAGGGCAAGGGAAACGAUGAUGGAGGAGAAACAAAAUAUUUAAACUUGGCUUCUGGUCUGGCAAAUGGUACACAUCUCUAUUAAACAAGAUUACACACAACUUGCUGGACCAGGCCAAGGUGGGUGGGUGCAGACCAGCUAUGAAAUGUUCCUGGUCUAAGCCAUCUUGGUGGGAUUUAUCUCCUGGGAGGUGGGAGGUGAAGGAUUGUACUGAAUACAUAAAUGAACAGAGCUUGCUUCCCACAGCAGCCAACCAAAUUCCUCUGUGAUGCGUUCAAGCGGGGCAGCGGAAUGUAUGAAUCAGUUGAUUUCAGUUUCUCCCUGUUUUCAUGUUUUCCCACCUUAACUUUGUAAUAAGAAUUGUAAGGUCUUAUAUAUAUAAUAAAUGUUCAUAAAUGUACCAAGCAAACAUGUACAUAAAUAUAUAAACCUCAUUUCUGAAGAAGCACAGGAAGACAGUCCUGAAACCAUUUUGACUCCCAAACUGACCAAAUGUUUUCUCUGCAAGGAGGGAGGGGGUGAGGGAACCUUCCCAUUGUCUCAGGAAUUGGGAAAUCACCAUCUCAAAGGAAUGGCCAAACUACCAGGAAAGGCAAUCAGAUAAGGCAUUAUCAGAUAACCUGGCAGACAGGAAAAACAACAACAUUCAAAUUUCAGUUGUAGACUGCCUUUUCUGUGGUGUAGGUAGGAUGUUUGUGGGGGGUGGUCUUGGGCUACACCCCUUCUGUGAUGUAUGUAUGAUGUAUGGAGGGAUGGUCUUGAGCUCUAGGGCAGGGAAUUUCAAAAUGGCUAUAUAAGGGCAAGUACA
Podarcis raffonei (Aeolian wall lizard) is the source of this 2046-nucleotide long non-coding RNA. RefSeq lists it as uncharacterized. The transcript has 3 exons. The record is from RefSeq and is a predicted model, not a curated record. Lineage: Eukaryota; Metazoa; Chordata; Lepidosauria; Squamata; Lacertidae.